AGAUGACUCAGCUCGGAAUGCAGACCAGUAAUCUGAAGACGCUGUGGAUGCUCGAUAUGUAUAGUCGAGUGCCGUGGAUCGGUGAAGUAACAAGUGGGCAAGACCUGAGCCGUAUAUAAACCCUGAGAUUCAUCCAGUAAAAAGAGCGAGUCCCCAGAUGAUCAGACGCAAUGACUCUUGAUUUUGAGUUGAAAGGCGCGCAUUUGGCUGACUCCCUUGCCGAUGGGCCCGCAGGGCAUUAGCUCAGUUGUGAGGUAAGGCUCACCAAGGUCGGACAAUGCGUAGCCGGCCUGAGAGGGUGAUCCCGGCACACUUGGGACUGAGAAUCAGGCCCAGAAGUCUUAAGGGAGGCAGCCGCUAGGCGAAUUUUCGCAAACGGCGAAUACUCUGACGGAGCCAACCCCGUGAAAAAGAAGGUUUCUGGUCUGAAUGUCUGUGGGAGGGACAAAGAGCCCUGCCCAUAAGGCGCCUGGGAGACGAUACACCCAAGAAACACUCGCUAACUAAAGACGACGACCCGUUAUAAAAAAAGCUCCUAUAAGACUGUUAAAAUGGCCAGACAGCCUCCAAGAUCUUCUGUAGACUCGAAGAACAUGCCACAUCCACAGCAUAUAUUGCUAAAGAUAUUGGCCGAAGCAAGAAUAGAAUUUAAAGACACACUAAGUUGCAGCCCAAUUGGGCACACGAAAACUGAAUCCUUCCACAACUAUCAGCAGACAAUACUAUCGUUCAGCUACUCCCAACACGCGUACCAAAUUAUAGUAUAGU
This 768-nucleotide ribosomal RNA is filed under the name Bacillus sp. V90. RNAcentral's name for it is "partial 16S ribosomal RNA". Lineage: Bacteria; Bacillati; Bacillota; Bacilli; Caryophanales; Bacillaceae. The record is from RNAcentral.